CAAAUUUGGUGUUGAUCUGAAUAAAUCUCUAGGAGGAGUUCGUUAAAAUACAAGGCAUGCAAAUGACAAAAAUGAUGCAAAAUUUGCUCAUAAAAUUAAAAAUAACCGACUUCCUGUUGGGUUUCGGAUAUUGCUCCAAGAGUCUUUUUUGUAGGUACUGAUGCUUUACAUAUGUGUGCCAAUUUUCGUGUAUGUACGUGAAACACAGCUCGAGGGCUGUUGAUUUUUUUACGAUAGGUGGCGCUGUCGAGCCAUUUUGCCACACCCUCUUCUGAAACCUAUAUCAGACGUAAAUUUUCACCAGGUCUGACGCGUGUGCAAAGUUUCAGGACUUUUCGAGCAUGUUUAGGCCCUCAAAAAUGCGAUUCAUUUUGGAGAAGAAGAAGAAGAAGAAGAAGAAGAAGAAUAAUAAUAAUAAUAAUAAACAAAGCAGAUACAAGAGGGUCCUCACACCAUCGGUGCUCGGGCCCUAAUAAUAAACAAAGCAGAUACAAGAGGGUCCUCACACCAUCGGUGCUCGGGCCCUAAUUAAAGCUGCAAGCAGCAAUGAACGGGCCCUCGCACCCGGACUCACCGCCAGUGAACGGCUUUAGUAAAAAAGGCGAACGGCGAGAAAUAUGCAUUUAAUUAAAGUUGUAAAUAUAAGUGGAAUAUGUCAAAGUCAUUUAUAUGUGCCAAUCUUCCUGUUGCCAGCAGGUGGCGCUAUCAUUAUAAUGGAAUAUUGGCCUUCAGAUGUGUUCAGGCCACGACUCUUAUCGAACAUGUGAAGUUUGGGGAAGAUCGAACAUUUUAUGCCUGAGUUACAACAACUUCUCUUCCUAUGGCGAGACAUCAAAUUUUGUCA
Cyprinus carpio carpio is the source of this 844-nucleotide long non-coding RNA. The record is from Ensembl. Lineage: Eukaryota; Metazoa; Chordata; Actinopteri; Cypriniformes; Cyprinidae.